CAGCUCCCCACCCUUAUUAUACACAUCAGAAUACUUCUUUUCUUCACUGUAAUAUGAAUGAUAAUAGCUAUUUAAUGGGCACACUUGCUCUCAAAGUUGUACUGAGAAUCUAUUUUCAAUGAGCCAUGAAAUCUAGCUCAGAAUUGGUCUGACCCUAUCUAUCUUCAUUGCUGUUCCCUUGGCUCUGUUCCCUCAAGAGCAUUCCCUUCCACUCCCAUGUACUAUACACAUCCAAGAGCUUGUUUGGGUUAUGAGUCAGAAGAUAAGAGACUGCCUCCUGAUCUAUAGCUGUAACUGGAAUGCUUCUGGAGCCUCUCAGAUGUGUGUGAAUCUCUGAGGUGACCACUGGACAUCAAAACAGUAUGGAGCUGGUUACUUCAACAUCAUGCAGCUGGUGACCAACUAUACCACCCUGAAAUAGUACAGUGUGAAUGAACAGACAAUCACUCAUUGUGAUGCUGGUGAGAAGGCAAAAGGUACAGCCAGUAGCUUUCAGAUCAAGGGCACUAUCACCAGUGGAACAAAGAUACACGUAAAUUGAAGAAGCAUGUCUUGCAAUAGUGUGUAAAGGACUUUGAGUACAUUCAAGAGCAGUACAUUUGAGUACCAUUUAACUGGAUAAUGACCAUAAACCGCUAUAGAGCAUUUAAAAAAAAUACUGCUAGUGGGACCAAAAUUCCUCCAGCGCAUGCUGUUGAAACUGCAAUGUUACAACUUAGAUGUACACUACAAGAAAGGCACUGAGAUGUACAUAGCUGACUUAUGUAGAGCAGCCUUGCAACAUGAAAAUAUGGCAACUGAACAAGACUAACAUCCAUCUGAUAGAAAUGCAGGAAUCACAGAAAGACAUGGAGAGCAUCCCUCAAGCCAACUAUGUGCCAGUUUCAAGGCAGGGGCUGGAAUGAAUAUGAGAACAAAUUAAACAAGACAAAGAUAUACACAUGGUCAUGUCUGUCAUUCUGUCAAGAUAGCCAGACACCAGAGGGAAGACCCAUCUGCUGCUCAAAAGUACUGGAACAAGAGAGAUGAACCUAGCGUACAAGAUAUCCUAUAUAAAGAUACGAUUUUGUCAAGGUAAAAUUAAACAAAAUUCACACAACAGUCAUUUGGGGAGGAAAUCAGGGUAUGGUCACAGCGGGGCUGAAACAGAAUCCAAAGCCCCUGCUGAUAGCCCAUGCCCUGCCACCCAGGGUUGAAGCUGAAGCAGUCAGAGGUCUGUUAUAGUCACAGAAUCCAUGACCGCUGUGACCAGAUCAUAUCCUUAAUCAGAUAUAAAGGGUGUCAAAUCAUAAUAUCUAAAUCACUGCGAACCAGAACACUCAAGAAUAGGUUAGACAUUCUGGAAUAGAAGCCUGUAUCUAGAAACCAGAGAUACUGCAAACUGGCCAAACUUGAUCCAGGAUAUCCAGGACCUGGCGAGCAGUUGCGAUAGAUGUGGGGAAAUGAAGGCCAAGCAGCAAAAAAACACAAUGAAAACACAUAGCAUCCCUGACAGACCUUGAAGCAAAGUAGUAAUGGACCUUUUCACCACAAAACCAUACAAACUACCUCAUUACUGUAGACUACUAUGCAGACAAGUGGGAGAACUAGACAGACUGUCAGAUGUUACCGCAGUGACCUUCAUAGCCAAAACACUGAAGCAUUUCAGGAGGCAAUGUAUACCAGACUGUGGCCUGUUGUCUGAAACUACACAGUUUACUUACAAGUGAGUUUUUGCAACUUACCCGGGAAUGGGUAUUCAAUCACAUCAUCACCACCACCACCACCACCACAACACAGCUGGUCAAAUGGCAAAGUCAAAUCAGUAGUUAAAAUUGCUAAGACUCCAUUGAAGAAAGCUUCAAAAAGGAAAGAAGCUAUAUGACAAGCUAUUCUCGAUGGAGAGACAGUCCCACAGAUGGCCUUAAGGGCAGCUUGGUAUAAUGCCUGAAAUGACACAAGUGUGUUCGUUGAUGCCUAUAGCCCCAGCAUGACUAAAACUAGUGGAGUACUAGACAAAAAGGAAGAGACACACAAAAAGGCCAAAUCCUGCCAUGACUGACAAGCUAAAUACACUACAACUGGAAGACCCUGUCAGGUUUCAAUUAUUUCUUCAGGGCAAAUCACACAUUUGGAAGUAAGCUACACGUGUUGUACAGAUAAAUCCUAGUUCAUGUAACAUAGCAGUGGAUAGGCAUACAACACAAUGAAACUGCAAAGGUAUUUGCCUACGACAAACACAGAACAAAAACAUGGAUGAGGAGGACUGUGAAAUAAGUAUUCCAGUGAGACCUGAUCAGCAGGACUUGGGAGGGAACAUAGGAUGACAAGUGACUGAUACAUAUUGAAACAGACUCUCCAAAUACCACCCUACCAGAAGCACUAAGUGCUGGGCAGGCUCCUGCCAUGACAUGAAAAAACUCUCUCUCUCCACCAUCAAAUCAUCUGCAAGAUGUACACAAUACUUUGUACAAUACCAAAUGGUGAAAGAACAACCCUCCCAAACCCAGAGGAAAAAACACUUAAAAUCUUAAACAUGUAAUCAGGCUAGGAUAUUCAUGUUUACUUAAAUCAUCCAUCUUAAAUGUGACUGAAGAGACAAUAGACAGCUUCCCAAUAGGGGGCAUUAUGGUAUUAUAACAUUCUUAUGUAUAGGAUAACAUCUAGGAACUUAGAUAAGUCAACUUUCAGUGCUUGAUGGGAGAGAACAGUAUAUAUGGAAGAAGAAAUAAAGCUUGAAUAUUGUAUUGUUUUGACUUUUUAAAUGCUUUAUCACUGAACAAAAUGGUCUACCAUAAGCUUCUGCUUGACUCCUAAAACACAGAAAGUUGCAAAAAUAGUAUCUCUUGUUCCAGAGUUCAGAGUGUGCAGUAACCAUUAAUUUAUGGAAAGAUCCUUGAUGAAGACAACAAAAAUAAAACACUGCAAGUUCUUCACAUUAUCAGAUCUAUCCAGCACUAAUGGGGCUAUUUUUCCAUCUUUUCUAAAGAGUUUUUAAACUGUACAUACAGAAUGGAAAUUUGACCAUUUAAAUUAAAAUGAAAAGAUAUUCAAAACCAGCUUGUCAACUGUUUUUUUUAUUUCAGAAGUGCAGACUUCCAGAAAAUAAAGAAACUAGUUAAAGAAGUCAACUGGACUGAAGCUCAAGAACUUAAAUGUAGAGGAAACUUAGAAUUUAUUCAAGUUAGUUUUUGUUUAACUAUCUGAAAUUUUCAUCUGCAGCAAGAGGAUGAAUUUUGUAGGUAUAGGAUCCAGACCCAGCUGGGUUAAGAACCAUCUCUAAGAGGUUAUUAGAAAGCAGAGAGCCUAAGAGGUUGAUCAACAAAGAAAGCUACAUCAUGGAAAUUGGAAAGUGUAGGACUAAAGAGAAUUGCUAAGUGUCAGACUGAAUUGACUCUUGCCAAGGAAGUUAAAAUAAAGGUGUUUAGUUAUUGUCAACUGCUCUUGGGGCAGUUUCUCUAGAAACCCCACUUUCUCCUAACUAGUUUUCCUCUAUUUAUCUCAAAUUAGACUAGUUCAUCAAUUUAACCUAAAAUAAGUCAAUUAAACUCCAGCAUUUAUAGUUUUCCUUUCUCUCCCUGUCAGUGUCUUAGCAGUAGCCUAGUAUGGCGCUAUAAUCUCUCUGUUAUCCCAACUCCUUUUGACUCCUCAUCUGUCGCUGUUCUCCUUCCUUUAUAGCUAGGCUUGUUUUCCUUAUUGGGCCCAGCUGUGGGUGCAUGCCUCCAUGAUUGGCAGUUCUGGCAGCUGUGCUGGGGCGGGGUCAGCCUGGUUGCUUAUAAGUGCAGAAAAUUCUCCUUUCCUUGCUAUCUCUGUUUAGUAUGUGGUUUGUAAAGCCCAUUAUAGCUAUAGAAAGAAAAAGGAAGGAUGAGAUUAGACUGUUAUGUAGUGUAGAUAGGAAGGAGAUUAAAAAUAAUCUAAGUAUGGUCCCAAAGCUAAAUACUUUGUCUUGGUUUACAAUAUGGAGGAUAAUAUAGAAAAUGCACAUGAAGAUAGUAUGGCUGGUGGAAAGAAAUGUCUAGUAAUGGAAAUUACCACACUAAGGUAGAAGAAAAACUUAGAGUUUAAUGCACCCAAACUGGAUAAAUUUCAUCUCAGAAUAAUGAAAGAACUAGUAACUGGGUGUGUGGGUCAAUCACUGGAAGAUUGAGCUACCCAUGUGAUGUGGCUGUAAAAAAGGCAAAUGCAGUUUUAGGAUUUAGCAGGUAUUUCCAGGAGAGAUAGAGAAGUGUUGAUACCAUUGUACAAGGCACUGGUAAGGCUUCACUGGAAAACUGUCUACAAUUCUGGUCAUCCAUAUUGCAGAAAAAAUAAUUCAAACUAGAAUUGAUAUAGAACUACUAAGAUGAUUAGGGGAAUGAAAAUGCUAUUUUAUGAGAGGAGACUAAAAGAGCUUGGCUUCUUUAGUUUAGCAAAAAGAUGGAUGAAAGGGAUUGUGAUUAGAGCUGAAUGAGUAAUAGAUUUUUUUGGGUUUGGGAGCUGAACUGAAAAAAACCCCCAAAACCUGGUUCAGUUCACUGAAGAUGUUACUAUGCCAACAAGAGAGUUUCUCUUGUCAGUGUAGUUAAUCCAUCUCCAUGAGACAUGGUACCUAUAUUGAUGGGAGAAGUCCUCCCAUUGAUAUAGCACUGUCUACACCAGGGGUUAGAUCAGUAAAACUGUGUCACUCAGGGAUAUGGAUUUUUCACACCUCUGAGUGACUUUGGUAUACCAAUCUUAAAUUUAUAGUGGUCUUCUUCAACACCAGACUCCAUGUUGCCUUCCUCAUUACCUUUCAAAGCAAAGUUUAUUCAGACAAUCUUUAGAAGACUCUACUUCAAAGAUUCACCAGUCUAUAAAAGAAAGGGGCAACCCUCCCUGCAACCUCUCUCUCUUUCAUCUAAGACCAGUGCUUUUCAGACUCUAGGAAUGAUCUUGACCCAGGAAAGAAUCAGUCACCGUCUUGUUGGACAAUUGUGGGUGAGAGAGGCUAUCUUAAACAGAACCUUGAACCGCAAAUGCUAGAUUAAGUUUUAGACUUUUAAAUGUUUCCCUUUUAUUUGCUUGUAACCAUUUCUAACUUUAUCUCUUAU
Mauremys reevesii (Reeves's turtle) is the source of this 5048-nucleotide long non-coding RNA. RefSeq lists it as uncharacterized. NCBI's taxonomy places the organism in Eukaryota, Metazoa, Chordata, Testudines, Geoemydidae. The transcript has 3 exons. The record is from RefSeq and is a predicted model, not a curated record.